Molecule: ribosomal RNA, 376 nt
Filed under: uncultured bacterium
Lineage: Bacteria
Description: bacterial SSU rRNA
Rfam family: Bacterial small subunit ribosomal RNA
Source: RNAcentral
AUUGAACGCUGGCGGCAUGCUUAACACAUGCAGGUCGAACGGUAACAGGCCCUUCGGGUGCUGACGAGUGGCGGACGGGUGAGUAACGCUUAGGAAUCUACCUAGUAGUGGGGGAUAACCCGGGGAAACUCGGGCUAAUACCGCGUACGCCCUACGGGGGAAAGCGGGGGACUUUCGGGCCUCGCGCUAUUAGAUGAGCCUAAGUCCGAUUAGCUAGUUGGUAGGGUAAUGGCUUACCAAGGCGACGAUCGGUAGCUGGUCUGAGAGGACGACCAGCCACACUGGGACUGAGACACGGCCCAGACUCCUACGGGAGGCAGCAGUGGGGAAUAUUGGACAAUGGGCGCAAGCCUGAUCCAGCGAUGCCGCGUGUGUG